RNAcentral lists this ribosomal RNA (523 nucleotides) under uncultured bacterium. RNAcentral describes it as "bacterial SSU rRNA". It matches the Rfam family "Bacterial small subunit ribosomal RNA", at positions 8 to 526 of the family's 1533-position model. The record is from RNAcentral.
AGAGUUUGAUCCUGGCUCAGAUUGAACGCUGGCGGCAUGCCUUACACAUGCAAGUCGAACGGCAGCGCGGGAGCAAUCCUGGCGGCGAGUGGCGAACGGGUGAGUAAUAUAUCGGAACGUGCCCAUUAGUGGGGGAUAGCCCGGCGAAAGCCGGAUUAAUACCGCAUACGACCUGAGGGUGAAAGCGGGGGAUCGCAAGACCUCGCGCUAUUGGAGCGGCCGAUAUCAGAUUAGCUAGUUGGUGGGGUAAAAGCCUACCAAGGCAACGAUCUGUAGUUGGUCUGAGAGGACGACCAGCCACACUGGGACUGAGACACGGCCCAGACUCCUACGGGAGGCAGCAGUGGGGAAUUUUGGACAAUGGGCGCAAGCCUGAUCCAGCAAUGCCGCGUGCAGGAAGAAGGCCUUCGGGUUGUAAACUGCUUUUGUCAGGGAAGAAAUCCUUUGGGUUAAUACCUCGAAGGGAUGACGGUACCUGAAGAAUAAGCACCGGCUAACUACGUGCCAGCAGCCGCGGUAAUAC